Molecule: long non-coding RNA, 1284 nt
Organism: Gadus morhua (Atlantic cod)
Lineage: Eukaryota; Metazoa; Chordata; Actinopteri; Gadiformes; Gadidae
Exons: 3
Source: RefSeq, a predicted model, not a curated record
GUUGACUGUAUAUUCAGCUCGAAGUCAUACACGGACAAUGCGAUCUCUGAGCUCGAUAUAAAACAUGACAUAACGGUAAAUAACCGUUGAACUAUACAUACAAGAUUUUGGCGCGCUCUAGUGGCCAACCGAAAUCACCAAAUAAACAAACAGCAGCGAUGGCUCAAGCAAAGGACACGCACAAAUGUAAGUAUUUUCAGCACUUUAAUUACGGCAGACUGGUGUAAUAAUACUAUUUUCGAGCGGUUUUUAAUUGUGAAGUUAAGUUCGUUUCAAGGGCUAGUUAGUUUUGAAUCACUAGUCAAGUUUGUUUUGAUUCACUAGUCAAGUUUGUUUUGAAUCACUAGAAGCCGAUGCUAAUGUGUUCCGCUAUCGCUAUUUGUUGAGAUAGAUAUCCGAUAACCCUUGACAUGACAUGUUAAGGUUUCAAGUAAAAUUUGUGUGCAGUGGAUUUGCUUACUACUACAAUUCCUUGGUUGAUUAUACCGGCGCACUGAUUUGAUAUCGGUAAAGCUGCCACCUAGGCUACGUCGCUCGCCUGUCAAACUGAAGAUUUCCUUUCCACUUUUACCUCAGGGACACCACAGGAGACCAGACGGCUCAUUAAUUUCAGGGCGACCAGGGACAAUGAGUUUCUCAAAUCGAAAAUGAUCGCCAGAAAACAGUGGGAGCUUUUUCUGGAAGAAACGGGGAUGGAGGGGAAAGUGACAAGGCAACAGGCUUCUAAGAAGUGGGAGAACCUUAAAAAGAAGUACAAGGUAUGUGUCAUAUAUCAACCAAACAAGACCAUUGUUUUUGUUGUAAUUUAGUAUUUGCUGUGUGUGUGUGUGUGUGUGUGUGUGUGUCUGUGUGUGUGUGUGUGUCUGUUUGUUUUUUCAGGAUUUGAGGACUCCCAAAACUGGGUCGGGGACUGAAAGUGGGGAGGUGACUGUGGCGACGUGGCAGUAUUAUGAUUUGAUGCACAAGGUUCUUGGUGCCCGGCCAGCAAUUGACCCACCAGUCCUUGUGUCAUCGAUUCAAGACCCCAUGGUUAUCCUCAUGGAGAUGGUUGAGCCCUACACCCAAGCACCCACGACAGCAGCCAGCACCCCAGUACACCCUACCACAUCAAUCAUACGAAGGAGGUCCAAAACAGUGGCAGAACUCCUGGCUGAGGAGGCCCUUCAGGAGCAGAGGCGCCAUGAAGAGAGUGAGGCCAAGACGGAUCGCUUUCUGGAUCUCUUUGAGAGGAUGGUCAACAAAUUAUAAUUAUUGAUUUUUGUUGUUCCUAUGUUUUUUAUUCUU